RNAcentral lists this non-coding RNA (21 nucleotides) under Caenorhabditis elegans. Lineage: Eukaryota; Metazoa; Nematoda; Chromadorea; Rhabditida; Rhabditidae. The record is from RNAcentral.
UGUUCGUUUUUCCCUUUUCUU